GACAGACUGAAGACCUGACAUCAGUUUAUUGUGAAUAAAACAAUCAACUACAUUCAAAAUGAUGAAAUUUCUGAUUUUGGCUUUUGUUGCCUUGAUGGUAUUCGUUGCAUCAGCCGUUGCUGAGCCAGAACCUCAACCAUCUGGAAUUAUUGCUGGAGCUCCAAUUUUGGCCGCACCAGCAGUGGGUCUUGGUUUGGGACAUGGAGUUAUUCUUGGUUAAACAGUUACCCGACACAAUUUUGUGUUUUUUGUGUAGUUUGUAGAAAAAUAAAAUUAUAAAAAUGUA
Long non-coding RNA from Aethina tumida (small hive beetle), 286 nucleotides. RefSeq lists it as uncharacterized. The transcript has 2 exons. Lineage: Eukaryota; Metazoa; Arthropoda; Insecta; Coleoptera; Nitidulidae. The record is from RefSeq and is a predicted model, not a curated record.